This 502-nucleotide ribosomal RNA is filed under the name uncultured bacterium. Its description in RNAcentral is "bacterial SSU rRNA". It matches the Rfam family "Bacterial small subunit ribosomal RNA", at positions 10 to 507 of the family's 1533-position model. The record is from RNAcentral.
AGUUUGAUCAUGGCUCAGGAUGAACGCUAGCGGCAGGCUUAAUACAUGCAAGUCGAGGGGCAGCACGGUUAGCAAUAACUGGUGGCGACCGGCGCACGGGUGCGUAACACGUAUACAAUCUACCUUAAACAGGGGGAUAGCCUUUCGAAAGAGAGAUUAAUACCCCGUAAUAAAUUGAACGGCAUCGUUUGAUUUUGAAAGCUCCGGCGGUUUGAGAUGAGUAUGCGUCUGAUUAGCUAGUUGGUGAGGUAACGGCUCACCAAGGCGACGAUCAGUAGGAGAUCUGAGAGGACUAACCCCCCACACUGGUACUGAGACACGGACCAGACUCCUACGGGAGGCAGCAGUAAGGAAUAUUGGUCAAUGGAGGCAACUCUGAACCAGCCAUGCCGCGUGCAGGAUGACGGCCCUAUGGGUUGUAAACUGCUUUUAUACAAGAGAAAACCCUGGUACGUGUACCAGGUUGAUAGUAUUGUAAGAAUAAGCAUCGGCUAACUUCGUG